UACAGGAACCAACCUGGACCUGGACUCAGUGGGGAGUCCAAAACAAGUGACAGCUCAGAUGAUUCUUCAAAUAAAUUCAAAAUCAGACAAUCAAGAGUGAAAGAGAUCCAACAGAGACUCAUAUCUAGAUCUGUGUCCUUCAAGAGGGAUGAGUCAAAGGAUUUGAAUCGUAACUUCAAGUCCAUCAGUCCAGCAGAGAAACAAAUCGGACUGAUAUCUGGAUCUGGAUCUGGAUCCAGCUGUGAGUCUUUCAAGAGUGACAGGUCAAUGGGUUAUAUUCCUGACUUCAAGUCCAUCAGUCCAGGAGUGAAACA
Molecule: long non-coding RNA, 314 nt
Organism: Oryzias melastigma (Indian medaka)
Lineage: Eukaryota; Metazoa; Chordata; Actinopteri; Beloniformes; Adrianichthyidae
Exons: 3
Source: RefSeq, a predicted model, not a curated record